GACGAACGCUGGCGGCGUGCUUAACACAUGCAAGUCGAACGGAAAGGCCUGCUUUCCCUUGUGGAUUGCGGGUACUCGAGUGGCGAACGGGUGAGUAACACGUGAGUGAUCUGCCCCCAACUUGGGUAUAAGCCUGGGAAACUGGGUCUAAUUCCCGAUAGGACUGCAGGGUGGUGCCUGUGGUGGAAAACGAUUUUCUAGUGGUUGGGGAUGAGCUCGCGGCCUAUCAGCUUGUUGGUGGGGUAAUGGCCUACCAAGGCGGCGACGGGUAGCCGGCCUGAGAGGGUGGACGGCCACAUUGGGACUGAGAUACGGCCCAGACUCCUACUGGAGGCAGCAUUGGGGAAUAGUGCACAAUGGGCGGAAGCCUGAUGCAGCGACGCCGCGUGGGGGAUGACGGCCUUCGGGUUGUAAACUCCUUUCGACCGCGAGGAAGCCACCUGGUUGGAAGGGUGGUGACGUUAGUGGUAGAAGAAGCACCGGCUAACUACGUG
RNAcentral lists this ribosomal RNA (494 nucleotides) under uncultured bacterium. RNAcentral's name for it is "partial 16S ribosomal RNA". It matches the Rfam family "Bacterial small subunit ribosomal RNA", at positions 28 to 507 of the family's 1533-position model. The record is from RNAcentral.